GAUGAACGCUAGCGGCAGGCCUAAUACAUGCAAGUCGAACGGUGUCUUCGGACAUAGUGGCGCACGGGUGCGUAACACGUAUGCAACCUACCUUACAUUGGGGGAUAGCCUUUCGAAAGGGAGAUUAAUACCGCAUAAGACAGUAGCUGGGCAUCCAGCAGCUGUUAAAGAUUUAUCGAUGUAAGCUGGGCAUGCGUCCAAUUAGCUAGUUGGUGAGGUAACGGCUCACCAAGGCAAUGAUUGGUAGGGGAACUGAGAGGUCAAUCCCCCACACUGGCACUGAGAUACGGGCCAGACUCCUACGGGAGGCAGCAGUAGGGAAUAUUGGGCAAUGGACGCAAGUCUGACCCAGCCAUGCCGCGUGCAGGAUGAAGGCGUUAUGCGUUGCAAACUGCUUUUAUACAGGAAGAAACGACUCUUGCGAGAGGCAUUGACGGUACUGUAUGAAUAAGCACCGGCUAACUCCGUGCCAGCCGCCGCAGUAA
Molecule: ribosomal RNA, 485 nt
Filed under: uncultured bacterium
Lineage: Bacteria
Description: partial 16S ribosomal RNA
Rfam family: Bacterial small subunit ribosomal RNA
Source: RNAcentral